GGGUUGUGAGGUUAAGUGACUAAGCGUACACGGUGGAUGCCUAGGCAGUCAGAGGCGAUGAAGGGCGUGCUAAUCUGCGAAAAGCGUCGGUAAGGUGAUAUGAACCGUUACAACCGACGAUACCCGAAUGGGGAAACCCAGUGUGUUUCGACACACUAUCGUUAAGUGAAUACAUAGCUUAACGAGGCGAACCGGGGGAACUGAAACAUCUAAGUACCCCGAGGAAAAGAAAUCAACCGAGAUUCCCCUAGUAGCGGCGAGCGAACGGGGAACAGCCCAGAACCUGAAUCGGCUUGUGUGUCAGUGGAAGCGUCUGGAAAGUCGCACAGUAAAGGGUGAUAGUCCCGUACACGAAGAUGCACAGGUCGUGAGUUCGAUGAGUAGGGCGGGACACGUGUUAUCCUGUCUGAAUAUGGGGGGACCAUCCUCCAAGGCUAAAUACUCCUGACUGACCGAUAGUGAACCAGUACCGUGAGGGAAAGGCGAAAAGAACCCCGGCGAGGGGAGUGAAAUAGAACCUGAAACCGUGUACGUACAAGCAGUGGGAGCCUACUUGUUGGGUGACUGCGUACCUUUUGUAUAAUGGGUCAGCGACUUAUAUUUUGUAGCAAGGUUAACCGAAUAGGGGAGCCGUAGGGAAACCGAGUCUUAACUGGGCGUUAAGUUGCAGGGUAUAGACCCGAAACCCGGUGAUCUAGCCAUGGGCAGGUUGAAGGUUGGGUAACACUAACUGGAGGACCGAACCGACUAAUGUUGAAAAAUUAGCGGAUGACUUGUGGCUGGGGGUGAAAGGCCAAUCAAACCGGGAGAUAGCUGGUUCUCCCCGAAAGCUAUUUAGGUAGCGCCUCGUGAACUCAUCUUCGGGGGUAGAGCACUGUUUCGGCUAGGGGGCCAUCCCGGCUUACCAAACCGAUGCAAACUCCGAAUACCGAAGAAUGUUAUCACGGGAGACACACGGCGGGUGCUAACGUCCGUCGUGAAGAGGGAAACAACCCAGACCGCCAGCUAAGGUCCCAAAGUCA
RNAcentral lists this ribosomal RNA (1022 nucleotides) under Mesorhizobium sp. RNAcentral's name for it is "partial 23S ribosomal RNA". It matches the Rfam family "Bacterial large subunit ribosomal RNA", at positions 1 to 1055 of the family's 2925-position model. Lineage: Bacteria; Pseudomonadati; Pseudomonadota; Alphaproteobacteria; Hyphomicrobiales; Phyllobacteriaceae. The record is from RNAcentral.